Molecule: long non-coding RNA, 428 nt
Organism: Mustela lutreola (European mink)
Lineage: Eukaryota; Metazoa; Chordata; Mammalia; Carnivora; Mustelidae
Exons: 3
Source: RefSeq, a predicted model, not a curated record
UAGGCUACCAGUCACCUCCCGACAAUAUGUCAGGAGGACUGUCUGCUUCUAGACCGCAGCUGACCACCAAUCAAAGAAACCACGGAAAGUAAAACAGCAGGUGACUCCCCAAAUUGCGUAACAGAAACUCGGUCACCUGACUUUCCAUCCGGAAUAUGCCUCCAGAGAAAAGGGAACCCAGAAAGUGGUAAAGCCAUUAAGUCUUCCCAGGCAGCUGAAGUCACCAGAUUGUGAGGUGUUGUUCUCUGCCCUGUGCUGCACAUCCAAGCACGAGCUCCAUGAGCUCCUGCCUUCCUCGCUCCCACAAUGCUUUGUACGGCGUCUACGAAGGCUGCUGCCGAUAACUGUCCAGCUGCCUGGGUCUAAUUAUGUGAGGAGGGGCCUUCGCUCAGGCAGACUGAAAUGACUGGUUUCUCUCGUCUUCUGUA